AGUAGCUCAGUUGGUUAGAGCUUCGCGCUCACGCUGGAGGUCGUGGGUUCAAAUCCCUCCU
Molecule: transfer RNA, 61 nt
Filed under: Marchantia polymorpha subsp. ruderalis
Lineage: Eukaryota; Viridiplantae; Streptophyta; Marchantiopsida; Marchantiales; Marchantiaceae
Source: Rfam by way of RNAcentral